GGAGGGUGCGCUACCUAUCAAUCCAAUUCAUGCAAUCUAGCAAACCAUGGCAUAAACCAGCUAUCAACUUGGAUAGAGCCUUGGAGGAGCAUACAAGCUUCUCCGUAUCCUGAACUAUCUCAUUGCUAACUGAAGGGGCCACUGUAACCCCAAGCUAGCUCGCCGGCGAUCAAGAGGAGAGUUCACCCCGCCCUUUGAUCGGUGACUAGCUACAUCAACGCCAUCAUCAACACACUGAAGCCUACCUACAUCAAGCACACAGUAUUCCAUGCCGAACGACAACACCACCGGUAUACAUCUAUUAUCCAUGUAUCUAGAAACUGUGAUCAUGUUUAGCCUAUGAUUUUUGUAGUCUCUUUGGCAAUCGUGCUUAGUUUUAUAACCAAAAUGCAAAUAAAAUAUAAAUAUAACAUGGACCCUUUGAAAAUUCCAUGGCACAUGGUAAAUAAAGGUUACUCAUGCUACUCCAAAAAAGCCUUUUCACAACACAUAGAUUUCUAGAAGUCCAAAAAUCCUGAUUUUAACGAAAGAAUCAUACAAAAUAUAUUAUUAAGUAAGACGAAGAUAAACUCUAUAUGAAAAUUGCAUUGCUCUACAAGCUAUAUAACUUUGUAGUCACUAAUAUUUAAAUUUGUGAUAGUUUAGGAGACCAAAUAUUUGUUACAAGUGCUCAGACAUAUUUAAACCAACAAAUAUUUGAAUUUUUCAAAUGACCUCAUACAUAUAUAAGCUCUAUAUCAAAGUUAUAGACCAUGAUGACAUCUACAACUCUUUUCAUGAAAAGAUUUUGCUGCUGCCAAGAAGCUGCUAAAGUUUGACUGUUAGCUGCUGUUUGGGAGCAGCAAGAAGCACACCCGAACACUCUAGUUUGUAUCAUCAAGUAGGUAAUAGGAAGUAUACAGAGGUGAUGUUAAAAUAUAAAAUCUCCCAAUAAGUCAUAUAUACUUUAGUGCACAUGAGAUGCUAAUGAUGUGGCUAGCUACAUAUAGAGUAAGAGGUCCAAGAUUUGUAUCCCAAAUACCUUAUUUAUGAUUAUGCUACACAACAAAUCAUGCGAUGUGCCCUCUGAGGGGGCAAAUUAGUCUAUUACUCGUCCCUUAAUCUGUUUAAUUUCAAAAUUUUUAAGUAUCCCUUGUAUUCGAGGACACAGCGAGUAUUCCAAAGAUUAAUACAAUUUUUACGAAAAAUAAACUUUUCUAGAUAGAUAUAUCAUGAAACUUAAACAAAAUUACACUCUUGUUGUCAGUGCAUGUCACAAAACUAAAAUUUUCCGCUCAUUCUAUUCUAAAAAAUUACACACUUUCGCAUAGUUUGGAAGAUAGUCCUCUGAUGCACAUUGGUAAUAAAUGUGUAGUUUCAAUUAUUGUAUGAGAAUAAUAGAAAUAUAGUUUUUGCGACAUAUAUCAGUUUAUUGUUAUUUUUUGACAUUUACUUUAACUGCCAUACUAUGGGAACUACCUACUGUUCAAUCACUACAAAAUAGGCCUCACUAUAUGUCUUGGUCACAACCUAGGAGGCCUGUGCUUCACAAUUGUGAUUUUUUAUAUGUCUCCUAACAGUUUUUUUUAAAUAAAUGCACGGUCCCUAAUUAAAGAGGCCAGGACCAAUAUCUGGUUUAUAUUAGUAGAUGGAGACUAUUUAGCUCGGCCUUCAGGCCCGUUUAAACUCCAGUAGCUUUCUGACUAUGAGACAGAUUGAGUGCAGAUUGGCUAGAAGUCGAAUCUUCUAUCUUUUUUCUGAUCUUUCCCUUUAAAGAAACUCAUGUAUUUCCAUUUUCUCUAUAAAUACAAAUGUGGUUUGACGUACCAAAAAAAUAGUAGACAGAUAGAAAUAGAGAAUUAAAAAAAAUAAAUGGAAAUAGUGAUUUUGGACAGUUGAACUGUAUCUCAAUACAAACAUGAAUGCAGAAAUUGCCUAACUGUCUCAGUAAUGUGGCUAAACAUAAAAUAUGAGCAAUUCCAACCAUCAACCACCUUUCCAAAGACAUAGGAGAGAAGUGUAGCACCAACUACACUUAGAUUUUGCUUGCAUGUGUUGUCGGAUUUACCUCAAUGGACAUGUGUUGGUUUAGGGGGAUUAAAGUGGUACAUCCAACUAGAUGCAAACAAGGCCUUACAGUGGAAUUGGUACCAAUGGCUGAACAUUGAAUUAAUGUUAGGCAGUCAGGCAAGUGUCGCAAAAAUUGUAUAAGUUGGUUUAUGUAAUUGUUCAAUUUUGUUGCCCUGUUCAUUCUCUGGUACGGUCACCCACUAGGACACAAACAUUAAUGGAGGCGUUCAUUUUGGAUUAAUGGAGGUGAGCGUUGCAACCACAUCUAACAAAUGGUCACGGUUAAUCUGUGAACUAUGGAUGCGGUUGCUUUUGCCUGCCUCAGUAAAUAAAGAAACAGAGACAGGCGUCUUGUAAUCACCCGCCUUGGUUAAUGGAUUAAAAAACAAAAAAAAAGAUCCCACCAGCGGGCCCGUUUCUGAGCUCACCGGUGAGCGCACUCGUAGCCCUAGAUCCAGGUACACCACUGUGAACCAUGAUGCUAGUGCCAUGAGCUGAAUCCACCACUCGGGGGGGCGUGCACCACUAGAUCUGCCACUCCAAAUUGCACUGUUGCUCCGGUUGCAUGCCGCUCACAGAGAACCAAGCGAAGGUAAGGCAAGGCCAACACUUGAGGAUGUGGGGGAGGGGUGCUCACCUCUCUCCUCUUAGCCUCUCCACAUCUAUUACAUAGGAGAGGGGAGCUGCCACCGCCAUCGGAUCCGCUGCGGGAUGGCCACUGCCAUUGCUCAAGGAUGUGAGGACCACGAGGGACCGCCCCGCGUUCUCGCUACACCACCGGAUGGAGAGGGGCGGCCUCAGGAGGGAGACGAAGGCCGCCACCGACCGGUUCUAGGAGGGGGUGGCCGCUAACCACCAGAUCUGGGAGGGGAGUCCACCACCCUCCGAAUCUAGGAUGGGGGAGGAAGGAGAGCCCCACUACAUCACCGUCAAUAGGGAGGGAGGGAGUUGCACUGCUGGAGGUAGAGUGGCGGCUACCAGAUGGAGGAAGGGUUGAAGGGAGUUGGCAUCCAUGCGCCCAUGGAGAGAGAAGAAGGUGAGGGAGAGGGGCACCACUCGGAGGGAGGGGUAGAGAGCAUCGUUCGGCAAAGGAGGGAGAGAGAAGUGUGCUCAGGAGAGAGCCCCACUCCGCUGAGGGAGAGGGAGGCGAAGUGAAGCAACAAAACCUAACAUCCUAUAUUAAUGUCGAAGAUGGCUAACGUGCCUCGACUGGGCCUAUUAGGCCUUGGCCUUUUUCAUGGGCAGGCUUUAUAGUGUGUCCGUCUCUAAAAAAAAGAUUUAUGAAGACGUGCACCUUAAGGCGACCUCCUCAAAAAAUAGUCGUAAGGUGCCCGCCUCCAUAUGAGUCCAUUUAUGGAGGUGGCCAAAAGUGAUCGCCUCCGUAUAUGAAAAUGCCCACCUCCAUUAAUUGUCUAGGAUUUUCCGAGGCGAUUGGAUUUUGAGAUGAUCUCCAUUAAAUAAAGUGCAAGGCCACUCAAAAUCAAGUAUGUAUAGUAGUGACCAGCCACCAUAUAUUGGUGUUUUACUGCAAUCGUCAACGCAUUCAAUCUUUCGUUAACAAAAAUAUACGGUAGCUAGUUAACAAGAACAUAGCUAGCUACUAGUUAACGAAAUGGUACACAAUUGGGAUAGAAGGAUGGCUUCAGUCAGUAGAACAUGAUGGUGCUUAUUCUUCACUGUAACACACGUAUUUUGUACCCGCGCAUUGCCACACCACAAAUAGAGUAGAGAAAAUAAACAAUUAAGAGGUAAUGUUGUAGGUGGAGCGUUCAAAUGUUAUUAUGCAAAUACUUUAACCAAUAUUAUCUAUAUCGAGGAAUUUUAUGGUAGUUGGAGAAAAUAGGAACUCUCUCCCAGGCAAUGAUAUCGGAAAGUACCAAACUGGUAGGACCGGUACCAAAUAUACAUGGAAGGAUACUUAAUUUAAUUAUUAUUUUAAUAAGUAAAAGGCAUAUAGGUAAUUUCAUAUAUCUGUAAUAUGACAUAUCUGGACUGAAUUUACAUUUUCACCCCCAUUGGUGGGGUUAGGAAAUUAAUGAUAGGGGUAUACAAUUACUACAAUACCCUUAUCUAUUAAAUUAACAAUUAAUUCUUUAUUUCAAUUUAAAUGGUGAGAUCACUGGUCAUAAAAAAUCAAAAGGCAAUGACACCUGAUGGUACCGUCCAACCACUAUAAAACAGCUCAUAUCGAUCAAUACUAGAUAGAUGUCCAUGCGUUGCACCAGGAUUCAAUCAUUUUUAAAUUUGCAAAUAUUAUAAUAAGUUAAUAAAUGAUUUUGCAUUUGGUUCAAAUCCAUCCAGCUGGGUGAAAUCACGGUUGGUUGAUCAUUACUGGUUUUAGCCACGAACCAAUAGUGAUAAUGGAUCAUCAUUGUGCAUUCAUGGCAUGCAAUCAUCGACGGAAUGGGGCAGCAGUGCAAAUAUUGAUGGAAGUGGAUUUUUCUAGAGCUUUUUUAGGUUCCUGUUCUGGUCUGGUCGAUUACUUGGGUUCAAUUCAAUCUGUUUUUGUAGAGAUUUUUUUAGUAGAUGGCUGUAGAUUUUUUUUUUCUUUCGGGCUGGUCCCGGUCCAGUCCGAUCCUAGUUUUUUUUUUUUUACGGAGACUUUUUUUUACCAGAGACUUCGAUCUGCCGGACAUGGAUGAUUUCUCCACAAAUUUAUCAGCAGGUGUAUAAAUAUGUCCACAAAUGUACCAUGUUUUUCGAAUGCAUACAAUCCACAAAUUUAAACUUUCACUGUACCAUGUAUUUGUAAUCAUUGGAUUUGUCAUAAAAUAUGUUUUCAUCACAUUGUACAUCCAUAUUUUUAUUCAAAUUUUAUGUAAAACGUUGUAAUAAUGUAACAUCCAAAAUUUGAAUUUCAAUUAAUAGGAUUUAAUUUGAAUUAUUUAAGAAUUUUAGUGAGCAUUUAAUGUAGCAAAUAAACAAUUUUGUGGAAAUUUAAAAUUUAUCAUAAGCUUAGUAACAUGAUUUUGUGCAUUCAUGCUGAGACAUAUUUUAUUUUGUGUUGAUUGUAUUUAGUUUAUAUUUAAUUGUCCUCAAAAUCCUUUUUGAAAAAGGUUUUUUUUAAAAAAAAAAGAAUAAAACAAAACAGAAAAAAAAAAGGGAAGCCUUCCAGGCCGAAGCCCAGCUCCUUCCCAGUCCCGGCCCAGCGCGCCCCUUCUCUCUUCUCUUCCUUGGUCGCUGACAGCACGGGCCCACACGUCAGCGCCCUUUCCUUCUUCCUCCCUGGCGAGUCCAAGCCGGUCACGAACAGCAGGCUAAAUCCAAUCCGGGAGCGCGAUUUCCUUGCCGUUUUGCACGAACCGAGACCCUAUAAAGCAUCCCGUAGCGCCCCACAUGUUCCUUUCGCAUCCAAACCAACUAAAACCGUGCCCUAGCCACCUCUAUCGGCGUUUUGGAUCUUGCCGAGGACCGCAUUCUUUUCCCGUCGCGACGCGAGCUCCUCCCGUCGUUCUUCGGCCCCAGCAAAGCACCUCCUCGAGUUCGCGGUGAGCUCCUCGUUCCGAUGGUGUUUUCCUUUCGCGAAACGGUGCUCGGAAUCGGGAAGCCCGUCGUCGCCGGCGAGCUUCUUCCGGCCGGCAAUGGAGUCCACCGUGCCGGAGCUGGGGAAUCGGCCGGCCACCGCCCUGCGCCCCCUCUGGCUGUUUUGGACCGUCGGAUUUGAGAUCAAAGGCCAAGAACAGAAGAUACCCUUUCGCCUGGAAAUCUUCAUUAAGAGUCCCUGCAACUUUUCUUUAUUUACUCCGCAGUCCAAGGUGUAAUCACCAGUUUACGUUUUCGUUUUCUAAAAGCAUAUUUCCUCCGGUUUGAUUCAAAUACGUUUUGCAGAAAUUACAGAAUUGCCACUGAUUUUAUAAUGCUCAUAAAAUAUCCAUUUUAACUCCGUUUUUGUCCAUUCAAAUUCCGUUGUAUUCGUAUUUACGAUCUCUACAUGUUAGAAAUAUUGGUUUACUGUUUUGAAACUUUUUAAUUCUGCAGUAGUAUUUAAUUAAUUAUUUCUUUAUAGGAAAUCUUAGAAAAUUCAUAUCUCUCACGUUUUAAUUCCGAUUUUCGUGAACUUUACGUUUGUGUGAUCGUAGCGCUGCGUAGAAAAUUUUGAUAAACUUUUAUAUUGGUUUUACCACUGUUUGGUGUAUUGUUCUAAUUAUAUCUUGUUUGCUUCGUGUAUGCUUGUCUACAUUGGAUUGCGUGUUGUUGAUUGAUGAUUGGGAUUAGACGGUGAGCCGUACGUUGGUGCUCAAGAUCAAGUAUUUGAAGACCAGCAGGCUCAGGAGAGCUUUGAUCAAGGCAAGUAUAACUUGGGAUUAUCCUUGUUACCUAUACACAAUUAAUAUAACAUUUAUCAUAUGCAUGCUAUCACCUUGAUGACCUUAGCAAAAUCAUAGAUGAUUGUUAUCCUGGAUUCCUUGUUACCUAUUUUGGAUAUGCAUUUGGUAGUUCUUGCUAGUGCUUGAUUAUUAAUCCAUGAUCUUGUAACAUGAAUAUUUGAAUAUACAAUAAACAAUAAAAUAAGCUUUCUAGCAACUUGAAUAUAAAGGGUGGAAAGAACUCUGGCUUUUGCUGGAUUGAUCUUGACCCUCCUUAAGGACUUAUCCCUUGGCAAAAGCUGGGACAACUCGUACAACCAUGAGGGCUAUAUGGCUCUGGCUUUAGUCAAGUAUGAGUAAGCUUUUCUAGCUUGUUAGAGGUUACCCGAAAGGGCGGAGGGGCUGAACCGUUUUGGGUAUAGUGCGAGCCCCUGUCCCUAUGUGUAUAGGCUGCGCGUCAUUGUGCCAUUCGGAAGGGGGGUAUCUAUAUCUGCGCGCAAAGGAAACCUUGCGGCCCUAACUUGUUAGACGAACCUUUGAAAGACUUCAUAGUGAACCCUGCCGACCUUCCUUGGUAGUGGGUUAAGAGGCUGAUCACCUCGGGCGAAAGGGUAAAUCACGACUCAAGGGUAAAGAUGUACAACCUCUGCAGAGUGUUAAAUCUGGUAUACUAGCCGUGCCCACGGAUACGGGCGGCCCGGAAAACUGACGGAAUAGAUGGACACUGAUGAAUAUGACUAAUGAUAAUAAAUGAUGGUUUAUUAUGUUGUUUAUAUGUGUUAUUCUUUAUUCUUGUAUACAUUGAUCAUGUGGUUAUGGGAUUUACUAUGCUACCUUGACAUUUGCUAGCCAAUGAUUAAAUAUGCUAUCAACUAUUAAAAGCUAAAUGCAGUCAAACCAGUGUCAGCUAUUUGAGCCUCAUGAACCCCUGGUUAUACUUGUUGAGUACGAUAUGUGCUCACUCUUGCAAUUUCCCAACACCUCAGGUUAUGAUAAUGAAGAUGACUGGAAUGAGGAUUAUCGUUAUGAGUACUAGGUUUGGAGUCAACCAGUCAACAGUGUCCCUGUGUGGAGCUUCCGUCGAGAGCGUUGUUUACUUUAUGCUAUCAUUUUUGUAUGAGACUAUGUGAUUCAAUAUAUAUUCCGCUAUGUAAUAAACACUGCAAUGGUACAUUUGAGAUUUGUCUACUUAUUUGUGCGACUAUUCCUGGGGCACAUAUGAGUCUUUUAUGCAUCCUAUUUUGUUCUUAAAAUAUGGGUGUG
This 7619-nucleotide long non-coding RNA is filed under the name Sorghum bicolor (sorghum). RNAcentral's name for it is "long non-coding RNA (SBIC_LNC002198)". The record is from RNAcentral. Lineage: Eukaryota; Viridiplantae; Streptophyta; Magnoliopsida; Poales; Poaceae.